RNAcentral lists this ribosomal RNA (301 nucleotides) under uncultured bacterium. Its description in RNAcentral is "partial 16S ribosomal RNA". It matches the Rfam family "Bacterial small subunit ribosomal RNA", at positions 509 to 808 of the family's 1533-position model. The record is from RNAcentral.
CAGCAGCCACGGUAAAACGUAGGUGGCGAGCGUUGUCCGGAAUUAUUGGGCGUAAAGGGAGCGCAGGCGGGCGAGUAAGUCUUUCUUAAAAGUGCGGGGCUCAACCCCGUGAGGGGAGAGAAACUACUCAUCUUGAGUGCAGGAGAGGAAAGCGGAAUUCCUAGUGUAGCGGUGAAAUGCGUAGAUAUUAGGAAGAACACCAGUGGCGAAGGCGGCUUUCUGGACUGUAACUGACGCUGAGGCUCGAAAGCCAGGGGAGCGAACGGGAUUAGAGACCCCCGUAGUCCCUGUCUCUUAUACC